RNAcentral lists this ribosomal RNA (491 nucleotides) under uncultured bacterium. Its description in RNAcentral is "bacterial SSU rRNA". It matches the Rfam family "Bacterial small subunit ribosomal RNA", at positions 28 to 507 of the family's 1533-position model. The record is from RNAcentral.
GAUGAACGCUAGCUACAGGCUUAACACAUGCAAGUCGGGGGGAAACGACAUCGAAAGCUUGCUUUGAUGGGCGUCGACCGGCGCACGGGUGAGUAACGCGUAUCCAACCUGCCCACCACUUGGGGAUAACCUUGCGAAAGUAAGACUAAUACCCGAUGAUAUCUCUAGAAGACAUCUGAAAGGGAUUAAAGAUUUAUCGGUGAUGGAUGGGGAUGCGUCUGAUUAGCUUGUUGGCGGGGUAACGGCCCACCAAGGCAACGAUCAGUAGGGGUUCUGAGAGGAAGGUCCCCCACAUUGGAACUGAGACACGGUCCAAACUCCUACGGGAGGCAGCAGUGAGGAAUAUUGGUCAAUGGGCGAGAGCCUGAACCAGCCAAGUAGCGUGCAGGACGACGGCCCUAUGGGUUGUAAACUGCUUUUAUAAGGGAAUAAAGUGAGUCUCGUGAGACUUUUUGCAUGUACCUUAUGAAUAAGGACCGGCUAAUUCCGUG